RNAcentral lists this ribosomal RNA (1446 nucleotides) under Bacillus sp. (in: firmicutes). Its description in RNAcentral is "bacterial SSU rRNA". It matches the Rfam family "Bacterial small subunit ribosomal RNA". Lineage: Bacteria; Bacillati; Bacillota; Bacilli; Caryophanales; Bacillaceae. The record is from RNAcentral.
UCAGGACGAACGCUGGCGGCGUGCCUAAUACAUGCAAGUCGAGCGGACAGAAGGNAGCUUGCUCCCGGAUGUUAGCGGCGGACGGGUGAGUAACACGUGGGUAACCUGCCUGUAAGACUGGGAUAACUCCGGGAAACCGGAGCUAAUACCGGAUAGUUCCUUGAACCGCAUGGUUCAAGGAUGAAAGACGGUUUCGGCUGUCACUUACAGAUGGACCCGCGGCGCAUNAGCUAGUUGGUGGGGUAAUGGCUCACCAAGGCGACGAUGCGUAGCCGACCUGAGAGGGUGAUCGGCCACACUGGGACUGAGACACGGCCCAGACUCCUACGGGAGGCAGCAGUAGGGAAUCUUCCGCAAUGGACGAAAGUCUGACGGAGCAACGCCGCGUGAGUGAUGAAGGUUUUCGGAUCGUAAAGCUCUGUUGUUAGGGAAGAACAAGUGCGAGAGUAACUGCUCGCACCUUGACGGUACCUAACCAGAAAGCCACGGCUAACUACGUGCCAGCAGCCGCGGUAAUACGUAGGUGGCAAGCGUUGUCCGGAAUUAUUGGGCGUAAAGGGCUCGCAGGCGGUUUCUUAAGUCUGAUGUGAAAGCCCCCGGCUCAACCGGGGAGGGUCAUUGGAAACUGGGAAACUUGAGUGCAGAAGAGGAGAGUGGAAUUCCACGUGUAGCGGUGAAAUGCGUAGAGAUGUGGAGGAACACCAGUGGCGAAGGCGACUCUCUGGUCUGUAACUGACGCUGAGGAGCGAAAGCGUGGGGAGCGAACAGGAUUAGAUACCCUGGUAGUCCACGCCGUAAACGAUGAGUGCUAAGUGUUAGGGGGUUUCCGCCCCUUAGUGCUGCAGCUAACGCAUUAAGCACUCCGCCUGGGGAGUACGGUCGCAAGACUGAAACUCAAAGGAAUUGACGGGGGCCCGCACAAGCGGUGGAGCAUGUGGUUUAAUUCGAAGCAACGCGAAGAACCUUACCAGGUCUUGACAUCCUCUGACAACCCUAGAGAUAGGGCUUUCCCUUCGGGGACAGAGUGACAGGUGGUGCAUGGUUGUCGUCAGCUCGUGUCGUGAGAUGUUGGGUUAAGUCCCGCAACGAGCGCAACCCUUGAUCUUAGUUGCCAGCAUUCAGUUGGGCACUCUAAGGUGACUGCCGGUGACAAACCGGAGGAAGGUGGGGAUGACGUCAAAUCAUCAUGCCCCUUAUGACCUGGGCUACACACGUGCUACAAUGGACAGANNAAAGGGCUGCAAGACCGNANGGUUUAGCCAAUCCCAUAAAUCUGUUCUCNGUUCGGAUCGCAGUCUGCAACUCGACUGCGUGAAGCUGGAAUCGCUAGNANUCGCGGAUCANCAUGCCGCGGUGAAUACGUUCCCGGGCCUUGNACACACCGCCCGUCACACCACGNGAGUUUGCAACACCCGAAGUCGGUGAGGUAACCUUUAUGGAGCCAGC